This 412-nucleotide ribosomal RNA is filed under the name Bacillus sp. (in: firmicutes). RNAcentral's name for it is "bacterial SSU rRNA". It matches the Rfam family "Bacterial small subunit ribosomal RNA", at positions 774 to 1186 of the family's 1533-position model. The record is from RNAcentral. Lineage: Bacteria; Bacillati; Bacillota; Bacilli; Caryophanales; Bacillaceae.
AGGAUUAGAUACCCUGGUAGUCCACGCCGUAAACGAUGAGUGCUAAGUGUUAGGGGGUUUCCGCCCCUUAGUGCUGCAGCUAACGCAUUAAGCACUCCGCCUGGGGAGUACGGUCGCAAGACUGAAACUCAAAGGAAUUGACGGGGGCCCGCACAAGCGGUGGAGCAUGUGGUUUAAUUCGAAGCAACGCGAAGAACCUUACCAGGUCUUGACAUCCUCUGACAACCCUAGAGAUAGGGCUUUCCCUUCGGGGACAGAGUGACAGGUGGUGCAUGGUUGUCGUCAGCUCGUGUCGUGAGAUGUUGGGUUAAGUCCCGCAACGAGCGCAACCCUUGAUCUUAGUUGCCAGCAUUCAGUUGGGCACUCUAAGGUGACUGCCGGUGACAAACCGGAGGAAGGUGGGGAUGACGUA